This 253-nucleotide ribosomal RNA is filed under the name uncultured bacterium. RNAcentral describes it as "partial 16S ribosomal RNA". It matches the Rfam family "Bacterial small subunit ribosomal RNA", at positions 524 to 776 of the family's 1533-position model. The record is from RNAcentral.
AACGUAGGAGGCGAGCGUUAUCCGGAUUUACUGGGCGUAAAGCGCACGCAGGCGGCCGGGUGAGUCGGAUGUGAAAGCUCCUGGCUUAACUGGGAGAGGCCAUUCGAUACUGCCUGGCUUGAGGUUGGGAGAGGGGUGUGGAAUUCCCGGUGUAGUGGUGGAAUGCGUAGAGAUCGGGAGGAACACCAGUGGCGAAGGCGGCAACCUGGCCCACACCUGACGCUGAGGUGCGAAAGCGUGGGGAGCAAACAGG